RNAcentral lists this ribosomal RNA (425 nucleotides) under uncultured bacterium. RNAcentral's name for it is "bacterial SSU rRNA". It matches the Rfam family "Bacterial small subunit ribosomal RNA", at positions 355 to 774 of the family's 1533-position model. The record is from RNAcentral.
UAACGAAUAUUGGGCAAUGGGCGCAAGCCUGACCCAGCAAUGCCGCGUGCAGGAGGAAGCCCUUCGGGGUGUAAACUGCUGUCAGGGGUUCGCAAGCAAUGGACGUUAAUAGCGUCCGGCGUUGAGCAGCCCCAGAGGAAGCCUCGACUAACUCUGUGCCAGCAGUCGCGGUAAUACAGAGGAGGCAAGCGUUGUUCGGAAUCACUGGGCUUAAAGAGGGUGUAGGCGGCUUGGCAAGUGUCCUGUGAAAGCCCACGGCUCAACCGUGGAAUUGCAGGGCAAACUGCCCGGCUUGAGUUCGGUAGAGGUGCCUGGAACUCUCGGUGGAGCGGUGAAAUGCGUAGAUAUCGAGAGGAAUGCCGGAGGCGAAAGCGGGGCACUGGGCCGACACUGACGCUGAGACCCGAAAGCGUGGGGAGCAAACA